GGAGGGGUCGCAUAGUUUGGUCUAGUGCGCACGCUUGGAAAGCGUGUAAGGGGUUAAACCCUUCGAGGGUUCGAAUCCCUCCCCCUCCG
Molecule: transfer RNA, 89 nt
Filed under: Acidimicrobiia bacterium
Lineage: Bacteria; Bacillati; Actinomycetota; Acidimicrobiia
Description: tRNA-Ser
Rfam family: tRNA
About the family: Transfer RNA (tRNA) molecules are approximately 80 nucleotides in length.
Source: RNAcentral